AACGAACGCUGGCGGCAGGCCUAACACAUGCAAGUCGAACGGGCGUAGCAAUACGUCAGUGGCGGACGGGUGAGUAACACGUGGGAAUAUGCCUUUCGGUCCGGAACAACUCGGGGAAACCCGUGCUAAUUCCGGAUACGCCCUUACGGGGAAAGAUUUAUCGCCGAAAGAUUAGCCCGCGUUGGAUUAGCUAGUUGGUGAGGUAACGGCCCACCAAGGCAACGAUCCAUAGCUGGUUUGAGAGAACGACCAGCCACACUGGGACUGAGACACGGCCCAGACUCCUACGGGAGGCAGCAGUGGGGAAUCUUGGACAAUGGGGGAAACCCUGAUCCAGCCAUGCCGCGUGAGUGAUGAAGGCCUU
This 364-nucleotide ribosomal RNA is filed under the name uncultured bacterium. RNAcentral's name for it is "bacterial SSU rRNA". It matches the Rfam family "Bacterial small subunit ribosomal RNA", at positions 29 to 418 of the family's 1533-position model. The record is from RNAcentral.